GAACGCUGGCGGCAUGCCUUACACAUGCAAGUCGAACGGUAACAGGUUAAGCUGACGAGUGGCGAACGGGUGAGUUAUAUAUCGGAACGUGCCCAGUCGUGGGGGAUAACUGCUCGAAAGAGCAGCUAAUACCGCAUACGACCCGAGGGUGAAAGCGGGGGAUCGCAAGACCUCGCGCGAUUGGAGCGGCCGAUAUCAGAUUAGGUAGUUGGUGGGGUAAAAGCCCACCAAGCCAACGAUCUGUAGCUGGUCUGAGAGGACGACCAGCCACACUGGGACUGAGACACGGCCCAGACUCCUACGGGAGGCAGCAGUGGGGAAUUUUGGACAAUGGGCGCAAGCUUAAUCCAGCCAUGCCGCGUGCGGGAAGAAGGCCUUCGGGUUGUAAACCGCUUUUUGUCAGGGAAGAAAAGGUUCUGGUUAAUACCUGGGACUCAUGACGGUACCUGAAGAAUAAGCACCGGCUAACUACGUGCCAGCAGCCGCGGUAAUACGUAGGGUGCAAGCGUUAAUCGGAAUUACUGGGCGUAAAGCGUGCGCAGGCGGUUAUGCAAGACAGAGGUGAAAUCCCCGGGCUCAACCUGGGAACUGCCUUUGUGACUGCAUAGCUAGAGUACGGUAGAGGGGGAUGGARAUCCGCGUGUAGCAGUGAAAUGCGUAGAUAUGCGGAGGAACACCGAUGGCGAAGGCAAUCCCCUGGACCUGUACU
RNAcentral lists this ribosomal RNA (709 nucleotides) under uncultured Comamonadaceae bacterium. RNAcentral describes it as "bacterial SSU rRNA". It matches the Rfam family "Bacterial small subunit ribosomal RNA", at positions 31 to 741 of the family's 1533-position model. Lineage: Bacteria; Pseudomonadati; Pseudomonadota; Betaproteobacteria; Burkholderiales; Comamonadaceae. The record is from RNAcentral.